Molecule: ribosomal RNA, 1552 nt
Filed under: Enterobacter cloacae
Lineage: Bacteria; Pseudomonadati; Pseudomonadota; Gammaproteobacteria; Enterobacterales; Enterobacteriaceae
Also listed under: 5 other names
Description: bacterial SSU rRNA
Rfam family: Bacterial small subunit ribosomal RNA
Source: RNAcentral
AAAUUGAAGAGUUUGAUCAUGGCUCAGAUUGAACGCUGGCGGCAGGCCUAACACAUGCAAGUCGAACGGUAACAGGAAGCAGCUUGCUGCUUUGCUGACGAGUGGCGGACGGGUGAGUAAUGUCUGGGAAACUGCCUGAUGGAGGGGGAUAACUACUGGAAACGGUAGCUAAUACCGCAUAACGUCGCAAGACCAAAGAGGGGGACCUUCGGGCCUCUUGCCAUCGGAUGUGCCCAGAUGGGAUUAGCUAGUAGGUGGGGUAACGGCUCACCUAGGCGACGAUCCCUAGCUGGUCUGAGAGGAUGACCAGCCACACUGGAACUGAGACACGGUCCAGACUCCUACGGGAGGCAGCAGUGGGGAAUAUUGCACAAUGGGCGCAAGCCUGAUGCAGCCAUGCCGCGUGUAUGAAGAAGGCCUUCGGGUUGUAAAGUACUUUCAGCGGGGAGGAAGGCGAUAAGGUUAAUAACCUUGUCGAUUGACGUUACCCGCAGAAGAAGCACCGGCUAACUCCGUGCCAGCAGCCGCGGUAAUACGGAGGGUGCAAGCGUUAAUCGGAAUUACUGGGCGUAAAGCGCACGCAGGCGGUCUGUCAAGUCGGAUGUGAAAUCCCCGGGCUCAACCUGGGAACUGCAUUCGAAACUGGCAGGCUAGAGUCUUGUAGAGGGGGGUAGAAUUCCAGGUGUAGCGGUGAAAUGCGUAGAGAUCUGGAGGAAUACCGGUGGCGAAGGCGGCCCCCUGGACAAAGACUGACGCUCAGGUGCGAAAGCGUGGGGAGCAAACAGGAUUAGAUACCCUGGUAGUCCACGCCGUAAACGAUGUCGACUUGGAGGUUGUGCCCUUGAGGCGUGGCUUCCGGAGCUAACGCGUUAAGUCGACCGCCUGGGGAGUACGGCCGCAAGGUUAAAACUCAAAUGAAUUGACGGGGGCCCGCACAAGCGGUGGAGCAUGUGGUUUAAUUCGAUGCAACGCGAAGAACCUUACCUACUCUUGACAUCCAGAGAACUUUCCAGAGAUGGAUUGGUGCCUUCGGGAACUCUGAGACAGGUGCUGCAUGGCUGUCGUCAGCUCGUGUUGUGAAAUGUUGGGUUAAGUCCCGCAACGAGCGCAACCCUUAUCCUUUGUUGCCAGCGGUUAGGCCGGGAACUCAAAGGAGACUGCCAGUGAUAAACUGGAGGAAGGUGGGGAUGACGUCAAGUCAUCAUGGCCCUUACGAGUAGGGCUACACACGUGCUACAAUGGCGCAUACAAAGAGAAGCGACCUCGCGAGAGCAAGCGGACCUCAUAAAGUGCGUCGUAGUCCGGAUUGGAGUCUGCAACUCGACUCCAUGAAGUCGGAAUCGCUAGUAAUCGUGGAUCAGAAUGCCACGGUGAAUACGUUCCCGGGCCUUGUACACACCGCCCGUCACACCAUGGGAGUGGGUUGCAAAAGAAGUAGGUAGCUUAACCUUCGGGAGGGCGCUUACCACUUUGUGAUUCAUGACUGGGGUGAAGUCGUAACAAGGUAACCGUAGGGGAACCUGCGGUUGGAUCACCUCCUUACCUUAAAGAA